RNAcentral lists this ribosomal RNA (421 nucleotides) under uncultured archaeon. RNAcentral's name for it is "partial 16S ribosomal RNA". It matches the Rfam family "Archaeal small subunit ribosomal RNA", at positions 323 to 746 of the family's 1478-position model. The record is from RNAcentral.
CUACGGGAGGCAGCAGUCGCGAAAACUCCGCAAUGCACGAAAGUGUGACGGGGCUACCCCGAGUGCCAUCCGCUGAGGAUGGCUUUUCUUUGGUAUAACUAGCCAUUGGAAUAAGGAGAGGGCAAGACUGGUGUCAGCCGCCGCGGUAAUACCAGCUCUCCGAGUGGUAGGGAUGAUUAUUGGGCUUAAAGCGUCCGUAGCCGGCUUAGCAAGUUUCCUGUUAAACCCAGCGACUCAAUCGUUGGAUCGCGGGAAAUACUACUAGGCUAGGAGGCGGGAGAGGUCAACGGUACUUCUGGGGUAGGGGUGAAAUCCUAUAAUCCCGGGAGGACCACCAGUGGCGAAGGCUGUUGACUAGAACGCGCUCGACGGUGAGGGACGAAAGCUGGGGGAGCGAACCGGAUUAGAUACCCCUGUAGUC